AAGUCGUAACAAGGUUUCCGUAGGUGAACCUGCGGAAGGAUCAUUAACACGUAUCCAACGUAAACCCCCUGUGAACAUUAAGCUUGCUCUCGUGGUUGCUAGAAUUGCAAUCCCUGGUAAAUCAUUGCCGAACAGUUUUGAUUCAGGGACCUCAGUUUUACAACUUCGAUCGAGCGAUCGUUGCAAGCGGCCUGGUUUCCCCAAGCAGUCAGUGUCUGAAAGCGUCAUUGAUUGUGUAAGGAUAGCGCUUCUACGAUUCCUGUAGACCGUACACUCGGGCAGGAGCUUUGCCAAAGGGUCCCCAUGCCCCCUAAUAACCCCACAGUUUAAUGUGAAGCUCAAUGUAAUACAUUGGGUAAAAAAACCGAACAACUGUUAACAAUGGAUAUCUUGGUUCUC
Molecule: unclassified non-coding RNA, 399 nt
Filed under: fungal sp.
Lineage: Eukaryota; Fungi
Description: partial internal transcribed spacer region
Rfam family: Eukaryotic small subunit ribosomal RNA (bases 1-46)
Source: RNAcentral